This 439-nucleotide ribosomal RNA is filed under the name uncultured bacterium. RNAcentral's name for it is "partial 16S ribosomal RNA". It matches the Rfam family "Bacterial small subunit ribosomal RNA", at positions 339 to 795 of the family's 1533-position model. The record is from RNAcentral.
CUACGGGGGGCUGCAGUGAGGAAUAUUGCACAAUGGGGGGAACCCUGAUGCAGCAACGCCGCGUGGAGGAUGACGCAUUUCGGUGUGUAAACUCCUUUUAUAUGUCAAGAAAAUGACGGUAGCAUAUGAAUAAGCACCGGCUAACUCCGUGCCAGCAGCCGCGGUAAUACGGAGGGUGCAAGCGUUACUCGGAAUCACUGGGCGUAAAGGACGCGUAGGCGGGUUGGAAAGUCAGGUGUGAAAUCCUACAGCUUAACUGUAGAACUGCACUUGAAACUUCUAAUCUAGAGUAUGGGAGGGGGAGAUGGAAUUAGUGGUGUAGGGGUAAAAUCCGUAGAUAUCACUAGGAAUACCUAAAGCGAAGGCGAUCUCCUGGAACAUUACUGACGCUAAGGCGUGAAAGCAUUGGGAGCAAACAGGAUUAGAUACCCGGGUAGUC